This 883-nucleotide ribosomal RNA is filed under the name Shigella dysenteriae. RNAcentral describes it as "bacterial SSU rRNA". It matches the Rfam family "Bacterial small subunit ribosomal RNA", at positions 83 to 961 of the family's 1533-position model. The record is from RNAcentral. Lineage: Bacteria; Pseudomonadati; Pseudomonadota; Gammaproteobacteria; Enterobacterales; Enterobacteriaceae.
CUUUGCUGACGAGUGGCGGACGGGUGAGUAAUGUCUGGGAAACUGCCUGAUGGAGGGGGAUAACUACUGGAAACGGUAGCUAAUACCGCACAACGUCGCAAGACCAAAGAGGGGGACCUUCGGGCCUCUUGCCAUCGGAUGUGCCCAGAUGGGAUUAGCUAGUAGGUGGGGUAACGGCUCACCUAGGCGACGAUCCCUAGCUGGUCUGAGAGGAUGACCAGCCACACUGGAACUGAGACACGGUCCAGACUCCUACGGGAGGCAGCAGUGGGGAAUAUUGCACAAUGGGCGCAAGCCUGAUGCAGCCAUGCCGCGUGUAUGAAGAAGGCCUUCGGGUUGUAAAGUACUUUCAGCGGGGAGGAAGGGAGUAAAGUUAAUACCUUUGCUCAUUGACGUUACCCGCAGAACAAGCACCGGCUAACUCCGUGCCAGCAGCCGCGGUAAUACGGAGGGUGCAAGCGUUAAUCGGAAUUACUGGGCGUAAAGCGCACGCAUGCGGUUUGUUAAGUCAGAUGUGAAAUCCCCGGGCUCAACCUGGGAACUGCAUCUGAUACUGGCAAGCUUGAGUCUCGUAUAGGGGGGUAGAAUUCCAGGUGUAACGGUGAAAUGCGUAGAGAUCUGGAGGAAUACCGGUGGCGAAGGCGGCCCCCUGGACGAAAACUGACGCUCAGGUGCGAAAGCGUGGGGAGCAGACAGGAUUAGAUACCCUGGUAGUCCACGCCAUACACGAUGUCUACUUGGAGGUUGUGCCCUUGAGGCGUGGCUUCCGGAGCUAACGCGUUAAGUCGACCGCCUGGGGGAGUACGGCCGCAAGGUUAAAACUCACAUGAAUUGACGGGAGCCCGCACAAACUGUGGAGCAUGUGGUUUAAUUCGAUGCAACG